UAUCUUUUCCAUCCCACUAGAAAAAAAAGGUGAAGAAAUAAACCAGCGACCCCUACCUAGCCGCCGCACCCCACCCCGCCCCUCCUCUUCCAUCUCGAUCCAAUCUUCCUCUCCCCUCACCAUGCCGCCGCCGCCCAGCCCUGGCGCGCAACGAGCUUGCUUGCUCGCACCGAUGUCGGCCACUCCACUCGCCGCCUGCUACCCUCGUCAUUGCAAUGUAUCCCUCUCUGCCCGCACGAAACGCCGAGCAGCCACGACGGUACCCACGCGCCUCGGCCAUGACAACCUCGAUAUCCAUGGCAAGGUGGCCGGCGGCUGGCGGAGGUCAGGUUGAGCAGCUGGGAUUUGGUGGCCGGUCGGCGAGGCACUGAAGGAGGAUGUCCCAGGCCUCAGGAGUUCGGAGGCGAGGUCAGGUGGCGGCACGACGAGCUAAUGGAAGGGACGUGAGGGUGCAGACCUGGCCGGAGGAGGUCGGGCCAGAGCCGGGGGGCAUAGAGGGCAGCCGGUUCAUGGGGGGCCAGGCCUGGCAGGGUGGUUCGCGACCCAAGAUCGGCCACAGGCUAAGGCCGACGAGCGAGACACUUCCAUGGACCUUUGCUACUGCUAACAGUCUGUAUUGUACACUCCGACGUCCACAACCAAAUCAAGGACGGGAGUUUGCGAGGCACUGAAGCACAGCGCAAGGGCACCAUCUCCAUGGCCAACUCCGGGACCAAGGCGAUCGACAUUUUCUUGGCUGGUCCAUGGUGAUUGCUCCCAUGUCUCUUUUAUUUUUUGUUCUUUACAAAAUUUGCUUCUAUAAUAUCAUCAUUUAGUGAAUUUUACCUACCUACACGAGAUAUGACUGGCGCUUCCCUAUUCUCUAAGGUAAUGUAUCAAUUUGCUGCUUAGUUAGGAAGAGGAUGAAUCAUGUUGGAUUUGCAGCGAGAGGAAGCUUGUCGACUUGAUGAACAGGGUAAUGUUUACUGAGGGCGGCUCGGCAAGGAGGAGACCGGAUGUUUGUCGUUGACCUACUUUGGAAGUGAGCUUAUUUAUCUCAUCUGGUCGUUGUUUCCCCUUGAUUAACUUUAGAUGGGGAAGCUUGAUCUCAUAAUGUCCAUGGAGAUAAAGCGGCUCGGACAAAGCAAAGGAGAAAAUACAUGCCCAAAACUGUUGAUCCUGAUUUUCCGACAAUAAUCACUUCAUAUGAGAUGGCCAUGUUUGAUGCAAAAUUUUCUUGCUAAUUAUAAGUGGAAGUAUGUUGUUGUAGAUGAGGGGCAUCGGUUGAAAAAUGCAAAGUGCAAAUUAUUGAGGGAGUUGAGGCGCAUUUCAAUGGAUAACAAGCUCCUUUUGACUUGAACACCUCUUUAGAAUAAUCUAGCAGACUUGUGGUCGCUACUGAAUUUCAUUUUUCCUGAUAUAUUCUCAUCCCAUGACGAAUUUGAUUCAUGGUUUGAUUUUUCUGGAAGUUUGAUGAGGAACAAGAGGAAGAAACUGAUGAGAAGAAAAGAGUCCUUGUUGUCUCAAAGCUUCAUGCCAUUUUGCGUCCACUCCUUUUAAGGGGGGUGGAGGAGGAUGUAGAAUACAUGCUCCCACGAAAGAAAUAAUCAUAUAUGCUAACAUGACUGAAUAUUAGAAGAAAAUCCAGAGUCACUUGAUUGAGCAGACAUGUGGCAACAACUUGCAUGAGAGUGCAUAUAUUGGUGGAGAGAAGAGGAGGAGCGGGCAAUGCCGUGGAGGAGAAGACAGUGGUGAAAAGAAGGUGCGGGCUGAAUGAAGUGGUGUCAAGGGGAGGCUGCAGUGAGAUGUCGUGGAGGGGAGUGAUGGCAGCGACGACGACGUGGCGAGGAGAGCAGGCCGGGCUAAUGAGAGUCAGAGAGUGAAAUGCAUUUUUAAGACUAGUAAGCGUGCACGUGCAAAUGCACGUCUCAACUAAUAUAUAUAUAAGAAUUAACAUACUAGAAAGAUAUUUUGAUUGCACUAAAAAGUACUAUUAUAAAUCAAGAAGACACUUCAAUGUAUCAUCGACUCAUUGUAUUCAUAGAGCCAAAAAAUUAUAGCAGUAUUUCCUGAUGAA
Molecule: long non-coding RNA, 2056 nt
Organism: Triticum dicoccoides
Lineage: Eukaryota; Viridiplantae; Streptophyta; Magnoliopsida; Poales; Poaceae
Exons: 4
Source: RefSeq, a predicted model, not a curated record